CUGGCUCCUCGGAGCAUUGUGCACGCCCGCCAUUUUUAUCUAUCCACCUGUGCACCGAAUGUAGGUCUGGAUGACUCUCGCCUUCGGGCGGAUGCGAGGUUUGCGUUUUGCGUGCGAGCGCUCUCCUCGAAUUUCCAGGCUCUACGUCUCUUUACACACCCCAAACGUAUGAUGCAGAAUGUAGUCAAUGGGCCUUUACAAGCCUAUAAAACACUAUACAACUUUCAGCAACGGAUCUCUUGGCUCUCGCAUCGAUGAAGAACGCAGCGAAAUGCGAUAAGUAAUGUGAAUUGCAGAAUUCAGUGAAUCAUCGAAUCUUUGAACGCACCUUGCGCUCCUUGGUAUUCCGAGGAGCAUGCCUGUUUGAGUGUCAUUAAAUUCUCAACCUCACCGGUUUUCUGAACCGUUCUCCGAGGCUUGGAUGUGGGGGUCUGUGCAGGUCGCCUCAGCGCGGUCUGCUCCCCUGAAAUGCAUUAGCGAGAUUCAUUCUGGACCUCCGUCUAUCGGUGUGAUAAUUAUCUACGUCGUUGACUUGGUUCGGACUCGCUUCUAACCGUCCGCGAGGACAACAUACUUGACAA
RNAcentral lists this ribosomal RNA (581 nucleotides) under Coprinellus sp. E8514c. RNAcentral's name for it is "eukaryotic LSU rRNA". The stretch from base 220 to 373 matches the Rfam family "5.8S ribosomal RNA". The record is from RNAcentral. Lineage: Eukaryota; Fungi; Basidiomycota; Agaricomycetes; Agaricales; Psathyrellaceae.